UACAGAGGGUGCAAGCGUUAAUCGGAAUUACUGGGCGUAAAGCGUGCGUAGACGGUUACAUAAGUCGGGUGUGAAAGCCCCGGGCUCAACCUGGGAAUUGCAUUCGAGACUGCGUAGCUAGGGUGCGGAAGAGGGAAGCGGAAUUUCCGGUGUAGCGGUGAAAUGCGUAGAUAUCGGGAGGAACACCAGUGGCGAAAGCGGCUUCCUGGUCCAGCACCGACGUUCAGGCACGAAAGCGUGGGGAGCAAACAGG
RNAcentral lists this ribosomal RNA (253 nucleotides) under uncultured bacterium. RNAcentral describes it as "partial 16S ribosomal RNA". It matches the Rfam family "Bacterial small subunit ribosomal RNA", at positions 524 to 776 of the family's 1533-position model. The record is from RNAcentral.